GAUGAAGAACGUAGCGAAAUGCGAUAAGUAGUGUGAAUUGCAGAAUUCAGUGAAUCAUCGAAUCUUUGAACGCACAUUGCGCCCCUUGGUAUUCCAUGGGGCAUGCCUGUUCGAGCGUCAUUUCAACCCUCAAGCUCUCCGGAGUUUGGUGUUGGGGCGCCUGGGGCUUUUCGACCUCAGGGCCCUCAAGUCCAUCGGCGGGACCGCCAGGACACUGAGCGCAGUAGUAUUAUUUCGCUCGGUAGGAUCUUCCACGGCGGGUCGAUCUGGCCGCUAAACCCCCCAAUUCUCACCAAAGGUUGACCUCGGAUCAGGUAGGAAUACCCGCUGAACUUAAGCAUAUCAAUAAGCGGAGGA
This 357-nucleotide unclassified non-coding RNA is filed under the name soil metagenome. RNAcentral describes it as "partial contains 5.8S ribosomal RNA, internal transcribed spacer 2, and large subunit ribosomal RNA". The stretch from base 1 to 120 matches the Rfam family "5.8S ribosomal RNA", at positions 35 to 154 of the family's 154-position model. The record is from RNAcentral.